RNAcentral lists this ribosomal RNA (253 nucleotides) under uncultured bacterium. Its description in RNAcentral is "partial 16S ribosomal RNA". It matches the Rfam family "Bacterial small subunit ribosomal RNA", at positions 524 to 776 of the family's 1533-position model. The record is from RNAcentral.
AACGUAGGACGCAAGCGUUAUCCGGAGUUACUGGGCGUAAAGCGCGGGCAGGCGGCUCGAAACGUCUGAUGUGAAAUCUCCUCGCUCAACGGGGAGAGGCCAUUGGAAACGGUCGAGCUGGAGGGCAGUAGAGGUAGGCGGAAUUCCGGGUGGAGUGGUGAAAUGCGUAGAGAUCCGGAGGAACACCAGAGGCGAAGGCGGCCUACUGGGCUGCACCUGACGCUGAGCCGCGAAAGCCAGGGGGGCGAACGGG